GACGAACGCUGGCGGCGUGCUUAACACAUGCAAGUCGAACGGAAAGGCCCUGCUUUUGUGGGGUGCUCGAGUGGCGAACGGGGGAGUAACACGUGAGUAACCUGCCCUUGACUUUGGGAUAACUUCAGGAAACUGGGGCUAAUACCGGAUAGGAGCUCCUGCUGCACGGGGGGGGUUGGAAAGUUUCGGCGGUUGGGGAUGGACUCGCGGCUUAUCAGCUUGUUGGUGGGGUAGUGGCUUACCAAGGCUUUGACGGGUAGCCGGCCUGAGAGGGUGACCGGCCACCUUGGGACUGAGAUACGGCCCAGUCUCCUACGGGAGGCAGCAGUGGGGAAUAUUGCACAAUGGGCGGAAGCCUGAUGCAGCAACGCCGCGUGCGGGAUGACGGCCUUCGGGUUGUAAACCGCUUUCGCCUGUGACGAAGCGUGAGUGACGGUAAUGGGUAAAGAAGCACCGGCUAACUACGUG
RNAcentral lists this ribosomal RNA (468 nucleotides) under uncultured bacterium. Its description in RNAcentral is "partial 16S ribosomal RNA". It matches the Rfam family "Bacterial small subunit ribosomal RNA", at positions 28 to 507 of the family's 1533-position model. The record is from RNAcentral.